GAUGAACGCUGGCGGCGUGCCUAAUACAUGCAAGUCGAGCGAAUGGAUUAAGAGCUUGCUCUUAUGAAGUUAGCGGCGGACGGGUGAGUAACACGUGGGUAACCUGCCCAUAAGACUGGGAUAACUCCGGGAAACCGGGGCUAAUACCGGAUAACAUUUUGAACCGCAUGGUUCGAAAUUGAAAGGCGGCUUCGGCUGUCACUUAUGGAUGGACCCGCGUCGCAUUAGCUAGUGGGUGAGGUAACGGCUCACCAAGGCAACGAUGCGUAGCCGACCUGAGAGGGUGAGCGGCCACACUGGGACUGAGAAACGGCCCAGACUCCGACGGGAGGCAGCGGUAGGGAAUCUUCCGCAAUGGACGAAAGUCAGACGGAGCAACGCCGCGUGAGUGACGAAGGCUUUCGGGUCGUAAAACUCUGUUGUUAGGGAAGAACAAGUGCUAGUUGAAUAAGCUGGCACCUUGACGGUACCUAACCAGAAAGCCACGGCUAACUACGUGCCAGCAGCCGCAGUAA
RNAcentral lists this ribosomal RNA (515 nucleotides) under uncultured bacterium. RNAcentral describes it as "partial 16S ribosomal RNA". It matches the Rfam family "Bacterial small subunit ribosomal RNA", at positions 28 to 523 of the family's 1533-position model. The record is from RNAcentral.